GUAGGUGGCAAGCGUUGUCCGGAAUUAUUGGGCGUAAAGCGCGCGCAGGCGGUUCUUUAAGCCUGAUGUGAAAGCCCACGGCUCAACCGUGGAGGGUCAUUGGAAACUGGAGAACUUGAGUACAGAAGAGGAAAGCGGAAUUCCACGUGUAGCGGUGAAAUGCGUAGAGAUGUGGAGGAACACCAGUGGCGAAGGCGGCUUUCUGGUCUGUAACUGACGCUGAGGCGCGAAAGCGUGGGGAGCAAACAGGAUUAGAUACCCUGGUAGUCCACGCCGUAAACGAUGAGUGCUAAGUGUUAGGGGGGUUUCCGCCCCCCUUAGUGCUGCAGCUAACGCAUUAAGCACUCCGCCUGGGAGUACGGCCGCAAGGCCG
Molecule: ribosomal RNA, 373 nt
Filed under: uncultured organism
Description: partial 16S ribosomal RNA
Rfam family: Bacterial small subunit ribosomal RNA
Source: RNAcentral